RNAcentral lists this ribosomal RNA (253 nucleotides) under uncultured prokaryote. RNAcentral describes it as "partial 16S ribosomal RNA". It matches the Rfam family "Bacterial small subunit ribosomal RNA", at positions 524 to 776 of the family's 1533-position model. The record is from RNAcentral.
UACGUAGGUGGCAAGCGUUGCCCGGAUUUAUUGGGUUUAAAGGGUGCGUAGGCGGCUGAUUAAGUCAGCGGUGAAAUUCCACAGCUCAACUGUGGAACUGCCAUUGAUACUGGUUAGCUUGAGUACAGAUGAGGUAGGCGGAAUUGACAGUGUAGCGGUGAAAUGCUUAGAUAUUGUCAAGAACACCUAUUGCGAAGGCAGCUUACUAAGCUGUAACUGACGCUGAGGCACGAAAGCGUGGGGAUCAAACAGG